UAGGCAGAAGUCUGAUGGUUUAGGAUGCCUAGCUGUUAACUAGGACUAUCGUGGGAUCGAGGCCCACCUGCCUAG
RNAcentral lists this transfer RNA (75 nucleotides) under Trichoglossus haematodus (coconut lorikeet). RNAcentral describes it as "tRNA-Asn". RNAcentral also lists the same sequence under 3 other names. Lineage: Eukaryota; Metazoa; Chordata; Aves; Psittaciformes; Psittaculidae. The record is from RNAcentral.